ACACAGAAGGAGAUGUCUGGGUGAUGGCAUGUUUGCAGAGAAAAGUUCGGUUGGAAAGCAGAGUCCUUUUCACUCUCUGCUUUCCUUUAGAAUGUUCAGUUCUUUUUUUCCUCCAAGGCUGCUGUUCAGCUUCUUUUAUUUCUGCCUUAGUGUUGUCAGUUCGUCUCUCCCUCUUAUCUCCUCUAACUUUUGUUGCUGUUUUCUUGUUGCGGGUUCAUUUCGCCCCUGUCCGUGUUAGGCUGUGUGUUUUUUUUUUUGUAAUUCCCCCGUUUGAUUUUGUCCCAAAGAGUUUAAGACAAAAGGAAAUGUCUUUAUUUUGGUUCGCUAAGGAGAAUCAGACCUGCAGCCAAGGACCCUGCUGGGAUGUAAAAAAAAAAAAAAAAAAAACGUAGCAGAACGAAGCGACACAGAAAAAAAAAAAAAAAACGCUGCACACUGAGUCCCCCGCCACAUUAUUUUGCCGUCUCUCUCUCUCCGUACAUCUCAAACCCAUCUCCAGGGUUUGUACCCCGUAAAUGAGGACGGACCACUGGGCGGGACAGCGAAAAGAGGGAGGAAGGAAAGAGGAGACAGUACCUUUUCGUAAUUUCCCCGGUCUCUUCAUUUUGGCUGGAGGGUCGGCCUACUCUGCACCCUAAGCCUGACUCCAUUUUAAUGCCAGGCGCUGACUGAUCUGUCCGACCACCCCCACGUCUCCUCUGGACUCUGAUAUGUGGCUUUCUGGCAUCUUUUUAUCUUUAUUCGUCGCUGGAAAUGUAGAAAAGCUGGAGGAAGAGGAAUGUUGUUGUGGGAAUGACCUGGAACCCUAAGGAAGGAAGGAUGAUUCAGGUGAAGUCACUGAAUACUCUGUGAUACAGUAUCAGCUAAAUGUGUGGCAAGUAGUGUCUGCCUGUGGUUGUUUAUCUGAUUGUAGAUACGUUUAUCUCUGCCUUCCUGGUAGCAGUAUUUCAGUGCCGGUACACAAAAGAACAAAGUCAAGUUAAAUCUGGAUUAUGGAUAUUUUUUAUGUAACGUGAACCUUCGUCAGAAUUCAGAAGUUGAUUCGGUCUUAAAAUAAUUGUUUGCGAUUUCCAAUAAAGUCAAAUAUAUAUUUAUUUAGCAGGGAGUUUACAUUGUUUAUACUUUUUCACUGCAAUUUUAAUAGCGAUCACACUAAAUAAAAUUCUAAAUAUAAUAAUAUUUACUGAUCUUUCUCCCCUUUGAAAGUUCGAUAUAAGCAAUACUAUAAGACAGAAAUUACAGAUAAUUCCUGGCACAUCUGACAGUUGUGUCUAAUUCAUUGUGCCGUGCUCAACAAAAUGUUUUCUCUCUCCCGAAGAUGAUAGUUUGACCUGUGAGUUGUAAAGACUUUUCAAUAAUAUUUUUCAAGGUGUUAAAAUCAUUUGAAGAGGUGCAUCGCGUUUCAUUUUUAAUCCCAGAGACAGACCAUUCAGUCGACUGUUCAGAACAAAAAUGUGGUACUUCAAUCCUGAUUCAGUAAUGGUAAAUUGUCUGUGGGUGGUUGAGUUUGUCACAGCGAUUUUAACAUUGUCUUGAAAGCUCUAAACGUGAGUGCA
Long non-coding RNA from Osmerus eperlanus (European smelt), 1556 nucleotides. RefSeq lists it as uncharacterized. NCBI's taxonomy places the organism in Eukaryota, Metazoa, Chordata, Actinopteri, Osmeriformes, Osmeridae. The record is from RefSeq and is a predicted model, not a curated record. The transcript has 3 exons.